AUUGAUGUAUUAUCUUUGGGUGGCAUAACGAUAUAAAAAUGUCGAAUCCCCGGAUUUUGAGUGCAACCACGUAAGUCAAACAACAUACCUAACUCUAAUGAACAAACUCACUUCAUUGGAAUAUCAUGAAACAACAAAAAAAGAAGCAAUUGAUAUCAUGAGUCGAGCAAUUAACGCAAUACACAAAAACACAUGCCAAUGGACUUAAAUCCCAAUCUAUAAUUCCAGAUAUAAUCUUAACACGAAGCAAACAUGUGGUAGCAUAUAAUAAAUAAAUCCAAAGGUGCAUGAAUGAUGUGGAGACAAAUCAAACGGCCUUUUAUAUCAAUAACCCCAUCCAAUAUACAACAAACCCAUCAUUUAGUAAAAAACACUUUCACCUAAUGGUAAAAGUAAUAAACGAACAGCCAUUCAAUCUUUUGUAAAUGAAAUUCCUAGACAAUGCCCGGCUUUCUUCACAAAUUUCACUAUACUCUUCAUCCAUAAAAAUGCAGUCAAAAUUAAAAAGCAAUGACGUUAAUCCGCAAUUUAUAACAGUCCAAGAUAUUCAAAACCUACUAAGUGUAAACUUAACAAUUAACAUCAGGACCAUUCGAAAACGAAUUAAACUCAAAGCCAUAAUAAAAAUACCCGAAAACAAAACAGCCAAAUGAAUUAUAUUACAAUCUCAGGUAAUACCGGAAAAGCUGCAUAAAAGAAGAAUUACAUGUUUGGUUUGGCUAUGAAGGUCUUUACGCAACUGCUUAUUGCUGAAACGUGGUGUCACAUGUUGUUCACGGAUACGUCAAAAGUGUCACGCGAUGGAGUGAUUCGUAAGAUGUUGAGAGGCGGUUGAGAGACAACGGCGAUGAUAGCGAGGCUGGUCGGUUGAGUAGAUCUAUGUGAUGUUGGGGUCGGUUUUGGCGAGGAGUUGUACUGUGAAGAUGAGUGAAGGGAGAAAAGGGUUGGGUUUGGGCGUACGGCGAUGAAGACGGAAGUUGGAAACAGUGGAUGGCGAUUUAUGAAGAUGGAGGUUGGUGGUAGUGAUGGAGGGUUUCGCGGAUGACCGUGCGAUGGAGGUGGGUUAAGAGGAUUCGUCGGCGAGGCGGAGGGUUGAGGGUGUUGGAGGCGGAGGUUUAUUUGAUGGUGGUGGGUCGCGAUUUGAAGGAGUUUUAAGGGGUGCGAUGGUGUUUUUGACGGUGGAUGGUGGAAAUGUGGUUACAGCGGUGGAUUGUGGCGUUGUGAUGAUUUAUGUGGUGGUGUGGUUGAAGAUGGAGACGGAAGUUAUGGAAGAUGGAGGGUUUGUGAGAGUGGUGAAUAUGGUGAGGAUUGAGUGGAACGUGAGUGAAUGAGUCAGAGAGAAAUGUGAGCAAGGGUAAUAGGUGGUAGAUGUAGUGAGGGAAGCGUGAAUACGUGUCGGUGAGAAAAAGAGAGUGAGGCGAGGGCGCGUGAGUGGGUGACACGUGAGUGGAGGGAGAAAGAAAAGUGUGAGAGGGAAGAGUGAUAGUUUGUUGAGAGGAAAAUCUAGACAGAUUUUCUCUUUUUUUUUUGUUUUCUUUGUAAGAGGGAUGAGAGAGUUUGUUUUUUUUUAUGACACGUGUCACCAAGUGUAUGGAAGAAAAGAUAUAUUUUUUGAUAUUCCCUUGUGAGUUGUCAAAGAAUUCAAUGCUGAUUAAAACAUUUAUUCGUAAACAAUUUUAUUUUAUAUUAUUAAAAAUUAGUUAUUGAAAUUUCUUAAAAAGUAAUUUAACUAAUUAAUAAUAAAACUCUAAUUUGGAUUUUAG
RNAcentral lists this long non-coding RNA (1763 nucleotides) under Lathyrus oleraceus (garden pea). RNAcentral's name for it is "Pisum sativum (pea) long non-coding RNA (PSAT_LNC021021)". The record is from RNAcentral. Lineage: Eukaryota; Viridiplantae; Streptophyta; Magnoliopsida; Fabales; Fabaceae.